Molecule: ribosomal RNA, 496 nt
Filed under: uncultured bacterium
Lineage: Bacteria
Description: partial 16S ribosomal RNA
Rfam family: Bacterial small subunit ribosomal RNA
Source: RNAcentral
AUGAACGCUGGCGGCGUGCCUAAUCCAUGCAAGUCGAGCGAACAGACGAGGAGCUUGCUCCUCUGACGUUAGCGGCGGACGGGUGAGUAACACGUGGAUAACCUACCUAUAAGACUGGGAUAACUUCGGGAAACCGGAGCUAAUACCGGAUAAUAUAUUGAACCGCAUGGUUCAAUAGUGAAAGACGGUUUUGCUGUCACUUAUAGAUGGAUCCGCGCCGCAUUAGCUAGUUGGUAAGGUAACGGCUUACCAAGGCAACGAUGCGUAGCCGACCUGAGAGGGUGAUCGGCCACACUGGAACUGAGACACGGUCCAGACUCCUACGGGAGGCAGCAGUAGGGAAUCUUCCGCAAUGGGCGAAUGCCUGACGGAGCAACGCCGCGUGAGUGAUGAAGGUCUUCGGAUCGUAAAACUCUGUUAUUAGGGAAGAACAAAUGUGUAAGUAACUAUGCACGUCUUGACGGUACCUAAUCAGAAAGCCACGGCUAACUACGUG